AUACGGAGGGUGCGAGCGUUGUUCGGAAUUAUUGGGCGUAAAGCGCGUUGUAGGCGGUCUUUUAAGUUCUGAUGUGAAAGCCCUGGGCUCAACCCAGGAAGUGCAUUGGAAACUGGGAGACUUGAAUACGGGAGAGGGUAGUGGAAUUCCUAGUGUAGGAGUGAAAUCCGUAGAUAUUAGGAGGAACACCGGUGGCGAAGGCGGCUACCUGGACCGAUAUUGACGCUGAGACGCGAAAGCGUGGGGAGC
Molecule: ribosomal RNA, 249 nt
Filed under: uncultured bacterium
Lineage: Bacteria
Description: partial 16S ribosomal RNA
Rfam family: Bacterial small subunit ribosomal RNA
Source: RNAcentral